ACAGGGAUUGCCCUAGUAACGGCGAGUGAAGCGGCAACAGCUCAAAUUUGAAAUCUGGCGUCUUCGGCGUCCGAGUUGUAAUUUGCAGAGGGCGCUUUGGCAUUGGCAGCGGUCCAAGUUCCUUGGAACAGGACGUCACAGAGGGUGAGAAUCCCGUACGUGGUCGCUAGCCUUUACCGUGUAAAGCCCCUUCGACGAGUCGAGUUGUUUGGGAAUGCAGCUCUAAAUGGGAGGUAAAUUUCUUCUAAAGCUAAAUACUGGCCAGAGACCGAUAGCGCACAAGUAGAGUGAUCGAAAGAUGAAAAGCACUUUGGAAAGAGAGUUAAAAAGCACGUGAAAUUGUUGAAAGGGAAGCGCUUGCAGCCAGACUUGCCUGUAGUUGCUCAUCCGGGUUUCUACCCGGUGCACUCUUCUAUAGGCAGGCCAGCAUCAGUUUGGGCGGUUGGAUAAAGGUCUCUGUCAUGUACCUCUCUUCGGGGAGAACUUAUAGGGGAGACGACAUGCAACCAGCCUGGACUGAGGUCCGCGCAUCUGCUAGGAUGCUGGCGUAAUGGCUGUAAGCGGCCCGUCUUGAAACACGGACCAAGGAGUCUAACAUCUAUGCGAGUGUUUGGGUGUCAAGCCCGAGCGCGUAAUGAAAGUGAACGGAGGUGGGAACCUUUCGGGGUGCACCAUCGACCGAUCCUGAUGUCUUCGGAUGGAUUUGAGUAAGAGCAUAGCUGUUGGGACCCGAAAGAUGGUGAACUAUGCUUGAAUAGGGUGAAGCCAGAGGAAACUCUGGUGGAGGCUCGCAGCGGUUCUGACGUGCAAAUCGAUCGUCAAAUUUGGGCAUAGGGGCGAAAGACUAAUCGAACUUGCUGUGCGG
Molecule: ribosomal RNA, 865 nt
Filed under: Didymella sinensis
Lineage: Eukaryota; Fungi; Ascomycota; Dothideomycetes; Pleosporales; Didymellaceae
Description: partial 28S ribosomal RNA
Rfam family: Eukaryotic large subunit ribosomal RNA
Source: RNAcentral